RNAcentral lists this ribosomal RNA (323 nucleotides) under uncultured eukaryote. Its description in RNAcentral is "partial 18S ribosomal RNA". It matches the Rfam family "Eukaryotic small subunit ribosomal RNA", at positions 1470 to 1796 of the family's 1831-position model. The record is from RNAcentral.
CCCUUAGAUGUUCUGGGCCGCACGCGUGCUACACUGAACGGUUCAAUGGGUAAGGUAGUGCGAAAGCAUGACCUAAUCUCGAAAUCCGUUCGUGCUGGGGAUAGAAGCUUGCAAUUAUCCUUCUUGAACGAGGAAUACCUUGUAAGCGUGAGUCAUCAUCUCACGCUGAAUACGUCACUGCCCUUUGUACACACCGCCCGUCGCUCCUACCGAUUGAGUGUUCCGGUGAGGCUUUGGGAGAAUGGCCUCAACAUGAGUUUAUCGUGUUUUGCCGUUUGAACUUAGUCAAACCUUAUCACUUAGAGGAAGGAGAAGUCGUAACA